RNAcentral lists this microRNA precursor (100 nucleotides) under Mandrillus leucophaeus (drill). RNAcentral's name for it is "miRNA (ENSMLEG00000007447.1)". The record is from RNAcentral. Lineage: Eukaryota; Metazoa; Chordata; Mammalia; Primates; Cercopithecidae.
UGAGGCAGGAGAAUUGCUUGAACCCAGGAGGUGGAGGUUGCAGUGAGCUGAGAUCAUGCCACUGCACUCCAGCCUGGGUGACAGAGCGAGACUCCAUCUC